This 22-nucleotide microRNA is filed under the name Petromyzon marinus (sea lamprey). Its description in RNAcentral is "pma-miR-203b-3p". Its record names the gene pma-miR-203b-3p. Lineage: Eukaryota; Metazoa; Chordata; Hyperoartia; Petromyzontiformes; Petromyzontidae. The record is from miRBase by way of RNAcentral. RNAcentral also lists the same sequence under 31 other names.
GUGAAAUGUUUAGGACCACUUG